Molecule: unclassified non-coding RNA, 235 nt
Filed under: Hevea brasiliensis (rubber tree)
Lineage: Eukaryota; Viridiplantae; Streptophyta; Magnoliopsida; Malpighiales; Euphorbiaceae
Source: RNAcentral
GCUCUCUUUCUUUAUUUAGCUGCCCAACCAGUAGUCUACAAUCUACAUCUUUGAGCUAGGCUCAGGCUCCUUUCUCUCUCUCUCAAAAGCCCACGCUUUUUUCAGCUCUCUGUCCCUCUCUUGCGAGUCUGAAACCGAGUGCAGAGUUAUGAGGCGGCUUGCACAGAGAGAUGAUUGUGUUUAAAUAUUAAAACUACCAUUUUACCCAUGCGAUAGUUACAUAAUUGUGGUGAGG